GGUAGCUGUAGCUCCGAUUAGACCCCUAGCCUGGGAAUCUCCAUAUGCUGCAAGUGCGGCCCUAAAAAGCAAAAAAAAAAAAAGAAAGAAAGAAAGAAAAAGAAAAUGUGCUGAUUCCCAAUUUCCUAUCAGAUGAAGGCUAAACUUUCAGCCUGGCAUCCUGCUACUUGUGCGUCCUGAUCCCACUGAGCCUGAGGCUGCAAAGCCUCCUCGGCUCCUCUAGUCCCAAAACAGAACCCUCGUCUCCACACGCGAAUGUUAUUUUUGCCCCGUGAAUACAUUUUCCUUACUCCGGCACCUUGGUCUUUGUUCAUAAUGUGUUUUUGGAAUGUCCUGUCUUUGCCUUCUUUCUACUCAAAUCCUAGUUAUUGGAUUCCUAUUGUGUCUCAUUGGGUUAAAAACCUGACAGUGUCUGUGAGGUUUCGGGUUCGAUCCCUGGCCUCGCUCAGUGGGUUAAGGAUCCUGCAUUGACGUGAGCUCCAUGCUAGAUCCGAGCCGCGUCUGCGACCUACACCACAGCUCAAGGUGAUGCCAGAUCCUUAACCCACUGAGCAGGGCCAGGGAUUGAAGCCGCAACCUCAUGGUUCCUAGUUGGAUUCGUUUCUGCUGCUGAAACUCCCAAGCCCAGGCUUCUUAUGAAGCCCUUUUAUGUCCCUGACCACAAACAAGACCCUGGUUUUAUUGACGCUCCUACUACGGGCAUCACGUCUUGUGUUGAUUCCUUUUCCCUGUGCACAUGUCCUGCUCCCACAACGAGAUUAACUCUGAGGGGAAAGGACCAUUGUUUUAUGUGUCUGCUCUGCGUUAACGAGCCUAUCAUCGCGUUACCCUCAGCAGUUCCAUAGCAAAUGUAUGGUAUUUUCCCAGCCAAUUCUCUGACACCAGCUGCAUGUCACACAGUCCCACCUGUCCUGACACCGACCCUCCAGGGUCAGCAUCAGACUCACAGGCCUUGGGGCUCUGCCCCCAGACGCCCCCACGCCAGACCCAGGGGCAAGUCCAGGCCACCCGUCCUUCUGAUGCACCCAGUUGUGAAGUCGGGGGUGGGUGAUCCCCACAACCCCACCCUCAGGUUUAAUCGCUUGCUGGAAUGACUCACAGAAAAACAGUUUUGGGGUCCCCAUUGUGGCUCGGGGUUGAGAACCUAACUAGUAUCCAUGAAGAUGUGGGUUUGAUCCCUGGCCUCAGUCAGUGGGUUAAGGUUCCAGUGUUGCCGUGAGCUGUGUUGUAGGUUGCAGGUGUGGCUCAGAUCCCAGGUUGCCAUGGCUGUGACGUAGGCCGGCAGCUACAGCUCCGAUUUGACCCCUAGCCAGCAUAUUCCCCAUAUGCUGCAGGUGCAGCCCUGAAAAAAAGAAAGAAAAACAGGGCAUUCCCAUUGCGGCGCAGAGGAAAAGAAUCUGACUAGUGUCCAUGGGGAUACGGGUUUGAUCCCUGGCCUUGCUCAGUGGGUCAGGGAUCUGGCGUUGCUGUGAGUUGAGGUGUAGGUCACAGACAAGGCUCAGAUCUGGCGUUGUGGCUGUGGCUGUGGCCAGCAGUUGUAGCUCUGAUUGGACCCCUAGCCUGGGAACCUCCAUAUGCCAUGGGAGCAGCCCUAGAAAAGGCAAAAAAAAAAAAAAAAAAAAGGAUCUGAUGUUGUCACUCCUAUAUGACUCUGGUCAUGUCUGUGGCACGGGUUCCAUCCCCGGCCCCAGGAACUCAUGCAUACCACGGGUGCAGCCAAAAUAAAAAUUUAAAAAAUUAAGUAAGUAAAUAAAUUCCAUAUUAGUGAAAUUUAACCUCAAAAGGAAGAGAAUUAGACCAUUCAGGUGAAAAGGACAGGUUCCUAGGAGAUUCCUAGGAGGACACUGAAAUGCACUUAAGAAGAAGUAGGAAGAAGGACCUACUGUAGGAGUUCCCUGGUGGCUCAGCAGGUUAAGGAUCUGGCAUUGUCACUGCUGCAGCACAGGUUCAUUCCCUGGCCCGGGAAUUUCCACAUGCCAUGGGUACGGCCAAAAACAAACAAACAAAAAAAAAAAAAAAAAAAAGAGAAAGGAGCUGCUUAUAGCACAGGGAACUAUACUCAGUAUCUUCUAACUAUAAUGGAAAAAAA
RNAcentral lists this long non-coding RNA (2089 nucleotides) under Sus scrofa (pig). RNAcentral's name for it is "lncRNA (ENSSSCG00050011352.1)". Lineage: Eukaryota; Metazoa; Chordata; Mammalia; Artiodactyla; Suidae. The record is from RNAcentral.